This 253-nucleotide ribosomal RNA is filed under the name uncultured bacterium. RNAcentral's name for it is "partial 16S ribosomal RNA". It matches the Rfam family "Bacterial small subunit ribosomal RNA", at positions 524 to 776 of the family's 1533-position model. The record is from RNAcentral.
UACGUAGGGUGCAAGCGUUGUCCGGAAUUAUUGGGCGUAAAGAGCUCGUAGGCGGUUCGUCGCGUCGGCUGUGAAAACCUGAGGCUCAACCUCAGGCCUGCAGUCGAUACGGGCGGACUUGAGUACUGCAGGGGAGACUGGAAUUCCUGGUGUAGCGGUGAAAUGCGCAGAUAUCAGGAAGAACACCAAUGGCGAAGGCAGCUCUCUGGGACGGUACUGACGCUGAGACGCGAAAGCGUGAGGAGCGAACAGG